Long non-coding RNA from Protopterus annectens (West African lungfish), 468 nucleotides. RefSeq lists it as uncharacterized. The record is from RefSeq and is a predicted model, not a curated record. Lineage: Eukaryota; Metazoa; Chordata; Ceratodontiformes; Protopteridae. The transcript is spliced from 3 exons.
GCCCUUUCAUUUCCAAUUGGGUUAUGUGGCUGGUUUGCUGUCUGACUGGUUGAGCAUACUAUCAAUCGUUACAGUAAUGUUAGUUUUACCGGUGUAAACGAUUUGGGGCCACGUUGCAGACGGUAGCGGGAGAGGUUUUUAUUUGGAAGGAACGCAGCAGUGUUAGAAUUGGAAGUAGCUGUACAGGUGUCAUAAAGUUUUGUUCCAACAGAUAAGUUGCAGAAUUUUAGGAAGAGUUACAUAGAUCAGGGGAAAACAGGUUGCUGGGUUUUCUGACUGCUGCUCCAUUGUAAAGAGUACUUGUAAAGGACCUUUUUUUACCAUGAGUGUUGGCUUUAUUGGAGCAGGCCAGCUGGCCUUCGCUUUGGCUAGAGGAUUCACAGUGGCAGGAGUUCUGGCUGCUCACAAGAUUACAGCAAGUUCCCCAGAUACAGACCUACCAACUGUUACAGAACUAAGGGUAAAAAG